GGUGACGAGGGGGCCGGAUGUGCGGGAAGAGGGAGGGGUGAAGCGGUGUCCGGGUUGAGGGGGCGGGAGUGGCGUGUAGGCGGCAAAGAAGGGCAGGUGUGAAAACGCGAGGCUCAACGUCGGGACGUCGGUGGAAACCGUUUGGCUAGAGGCCGGAAGAGGAGAGUGGAAUUCCCGGGGUAGCGGUGAAAUGCGCAGAUAUCGGGAAGAACACCCGUGGCGAAGGCGGCUCUCUGGGACGGUACUGACGCUGAGACGCGAAAGCGUGGGGAGCGAACAGGAUUAGAUACCCGUGUAGUU
This 300-nucleotide ribosomal RNA is filed under the name uncultured Bacillus sp. RNAcentral describes it as "bacterial SSU rRNA". The stretch from base 72 to 300 matches the Rfam family "Bacterial small subunit ribosomal RNA", at positions 567 to 795 of the family's 1533-position model. Lineage: Bacteria; Bacillati; Bacillota; Bacilli; Caryophanales; Bacillaceae. The record is from RNAcentral.